This 468-nucleotide ribosomal RNA is filed under the name uncultured bacterium. Its description in RNAcentral is "partial 16S ribosomal RNA". It matches the Rfam family "Bacterial small subunit ribosomal RNA", at positions 28 to 507 of the family's 1533-position model. The record is from RNAcentral.
GACGAACGCUGGCGGCGUGCUUAACACAUGCAAGUCGAACGGAAAGGCCCUGCUUUUUUGUGGUUCUCGAGUGGCGAACGGGUGAGUAACACGUGAGUAACCUGCCCUUGACUUUGGGGUAACUUCAGGAAACUGGGGCUAAUACCGGAUAGGAGCUCCUGCUGCAUGGUGGGGGUUGGAAAGUUUCGGCGGUUGGGGAUGGACUCGCGGCUUAUCAGCUUGUUGGUGGGGUAGUGGCUUACCAAGGCUUUGACGGGUAGCCGGCCUGAGAGGGUGACCGGCCGCAUUGGGACUGAGAUACGGCCCAGACUGCUACGGGAGGCAGCAGUGGGGAAUAUUGCACAAUGGGCGGAAGCCUGAUGCAGCAACGCCGCGUGCGGGAUGACGGCCUUCGGGUUGUAAACCGCUUUCGCCUGUGACGAAGCGUGAGUGACGGUAAUGGGUAAAGAAGCACCGGCUAACUACGUG